GAUGAACGCUGGCGGCGUGCUUAACACAUGCAAGUCGAGCGAAGCGAUUUUGAUGAAGUUUUCGGAUGGAAUUAAGAUUGACUGAGCGGCGGACGGGUGAGUAACGCGUGGGUAACCUGGCCUCAUACAGGGGGAUAACAGUUAGAAAUGACUGCUAAUACCGCAUAAGCGUACAGGAUCGCAUGGUCCGGUAGUGAAAAAACUCCGGUAGGUAUGAGAUGGACCCGCGUCUGAUUAGCUUGUUGGCGGGGUAACGGCCC
Molecule: ribosomal RNA, 260 nt
Filed under: uncultured bacterium
Lineage: Bacteria
Description: partial 16S ribosomal RNA
Rfam family: Bacterial small subunit ribosomal RNA
Source: RNAcentral